GAUGAACGCUAGCGGCAGGCUUAAUACAUGCAAGUCAAGGGGGUAGCAAUACAACCGGCGCACGGGUGAGUAACGCGUACACAACAUACCAUAUACUGGGGUAUAGCUUCGGGAAACUGGAGAUAAUCCCCCAUAACAUUGCGAGAGGGCAUCUGAUUGCAAUUAAAGUUUCGACGGUAUAUGAUUGGUGUGCGUUUGAUUAGCUUGUUGGUAGGGUAACGGCCUACCAAGGCGACGAUCAAUAGCUGGCGUGAGAGCGCGACCAGCCACACUGGAACCUGAGACACGGUCCAGACUCCUACGGGAGGCAGCAGUACGGGAAUAUUGGACAAUGGGCGAAAGCCUGAUCCAGCCAGUGCCGCGUGAUAGAUGAAGGCCCUCUGGGUUGUAAAUAUCGUUUUAUCUUGGGAAGAAACUCCUCUA
Molecule: ribosomal RNA, 423 nt
Filed under: uncultured bacterium
Lineage: Bacteria
Description: bacterial SSU rRNA
Rfam family: Bacterial small subunit ribosomal RNA
Source: RNAcentral